RNAcentral lists this ribosomal RNA (254 nucleotides) under uncultured bacterium. Its description in RNAcentral is "partial 16S ribosomal RNA". It matches the Rfam family "Bacterial small subunit ribosomal RNA", at positions 524 to 776 of the family's 1533-position model. The record is from RNAcentral.
UACGUAGGGGGCAAGCGUUUGUCCGGAAUCAUUGGGCGUAAAGAGCGCGUAGGCGGCCCUGUAAGUCCGCUGUGAAAGUCAAGGGCUCAACCCUUGAAUGCCGGUGGAUACUGCAGGGCUAGAGUCCGGAAGAGGCAAGUGGAAUUCCUGGUGUAGCGGUGAAAUGCGCAGAUAUCAGGAGGAACACCUAUUGCGAAGGCAGCUCGCUGGGACGUUACUGACGCUGAGACGCGAAAGCGUGGGGAGCAAACAGG